GAUGAACGCUGGCGGCGUGCUUAACACAUGCAAGUCGAGCGAGAAGUUUUGAAAAGAUUCUUCGGAUGAAAUUUAAAAUGGAAAGCGGCGGACGGGUGAGUAACGCGUAGGCAACCUGCCCCAUACAAAGGGAUAGCAUUUGGAAACGAAUAUUAAUACCUUAUGAAACUUAACUAGUGCAUGCUAGGUAGGUCAAAGAUUUAUCGGUAUGGGAUGGGCCUGCGUCUGAUUAGCUAGUUGGUGAGGUAACGGCUCACCAAGGCGACGAUCAGUAGCCGACCUGAGAGGGUGAACGGCCACAUUGGAACUGAGACACGGUCCAAACUCCUACGGGAGGCAGCAGUGGGGAAUAUUGCACAAUGGGGGAAACCCUGA
Molecule: ribosomal RNA, 375 nt
Filed under: [Eubacterium] brachy
Lineage: Bacteria; Bacillati; Bacillota; Clostridia; Peptostreptococcales; Anaerovoracaceae
Description: bacterial SSU rRNA
Rfam family: Bacterial small subunit ribosomal RNA
Source: RNAcentral